UCGCCUGUUUAACAAAAACAUGGCUAUUAUGAGAUUAUUUAUAGUCUAGCCUGCUCACUGAUAAAAAUUAUUAAAUAGCCGCGGUAUCUUGACCGUGCAAAGGUAGCAUAAUCAUUAGUUUUUUAAUUGAAAACUUGUAUGAAUGGUUGGACAAGGAAGAAGCUGUCUCUCAUAUUAUCAUUGAAUUUAACUUUUAAGUGAAAAGGCUUAAAUGAUCUAGAGGGACGAUAAGACCCUAUAAAGCUUUAUAAAUUUAAAGAUUUUAUAUAUUUUUAUAUAAAAAUAAAUUCCAGAGGAUUUAUUUUGUUGGGGCGACAAUGGUAUAAUGAAAAUAACUGCUAUUAAAAUUAACAAUUAUAUUUGUUUAUGUAAAUAAUUGAUCCUUUAUAAGGAUUUUAAGAUCAAGUUACUUUAGGGAUAACAGCGUUAUUUUUCCUGAGAGUCCUUAUCAAAGGAGAAGUUUGCGACCUCGAUGUUGAAUUAAAAUGUCUUUAUAGUGCAGCAGCUAUAAAAGAAGGUC
This 520-nucleotide ribosomal RNA is filed under the name Charybdis japonica (shore swimming crab). RNAcentral describes it as "partial 16S ribosomal RNA". It matches the Rfam family "Bacterial large subunit ribosomal RNA", at positions 1796 to 2577 of the family's 2925-position model. Lineage: Eukaryota; Metazoa; Arthropoda; Malacostraca; Decapoda; Portunidae. The record is from RNAcentral.